Molecule: ribosomal RNA, 314 nt
Filed under: uncultured bacterium
Lineage: Bacteria
Description: partial 16S ribosomal RNA
Rfam family: Bacterial small subunit ribosomal RNA
Source: RNAcentral
UUAUAAGAGACAGCAGUAGCCACGGGAAUACAGAGGGUGCGAGCGUUAAUCGGAUUUACUGGGCGUAAAGCGUGCGUAGGCGGCUAAUUGAGUCGGAUGUGAAAUCCCUGAGCUUAACUUAGGAAUUGCAUUCGAUACUGGGAAGCUAGAGUAUGGGAGAGGAUGGUAGAAUUUCAGGUGUAGCGGUGAAAUGCGUAGAGAUCUGGAGGAAUACCGAUGGCGAAGGCAGCCAUCUGGCCUAAUACUGACGCUGAGGUACGAAAGCAUGGGGAGCAAACAGGAUUAGAUACCCCAGUAGUCCCUGUCUCUUAUAC